UUAAAUGGCCGCGGUAUUUUGACCGUGCUAAGGUAGCAUAAUCAUUAGUUUUUUAAUUGAAAGCUGGAAUGAAGGGUUGAAUGAAAAAAUAACUGUCUCUAUUUAAUUAUUAUAAAAAUUUAUUUUUAAGUUCAAAAGCUUAAAUUUUAUUAAAAGACGAGAAGACCCUAUAGAGUUUUAUAGUUUUUAGUAUAAAAGGUUUAGAAUUAAUUUUUUUGUAUUUAAAAAUUAUUUAAUUGGGGUGAUUAAAAAAUUUAAUAAACUUUUUUAUUUAAUUUAUAUAAAUUAAUAAAUAUUUGAUCCAAAAAUUUUGAUUAAAAGAUUAAAUUACCUUAGGGAUAACAGCGUAAUUUUAUUAGAGAGUU
This 365-nucleotide ribosomal RNA is filed under the name Galeruca nigrolineata. RNAcentral describes it as "partial 16S ribosomal RNA". Lineage: Eukaryota; Metazoa; Arthropoda; Insecta; Coleoptera; Chrysomelidae. The record is from RNAcentral.